UACUGGGGCUCUUGUCCAGUCACUGAAGCUAAGCUGGGUCCGGCUGAGUCAGCAUCUGGAUGGGAGACUUCUUGGGAAUACUAAGGUGUUGCAGGAA
This 97-nucleotide ribosomal RNA is filed under the name Pelodiscus sinensis (Chinese soft-shelled turtle). Lineage: Eukaryota; Metazoa; Chordata; Testudines; Trionychidae. The record is from RNAcentral.